Long non-coding RNA from Talpa occidentalis (Iberian mole), 290 nucleotides. RefSeq lists it as uncharacterized. NCBI's taxonomy places the organism in Eukaryota, Metazoa, Chordata, Mammalia, Eulipotyphla, Talpidae. The record is from RefSeq and is a predicted model, not a curated record. The transcript has 4 exons.
ACUAGCCCUGGAGUGAAAAAAGAGAAAGUGAAGAAGUCAUUUCAUCCUAGGAAGCUGCCUCACAAGGUAUGAAUGGUGGGCCCCUAAGGAUAGACCAGAGAUGGCCGAGCUGCUGAAGGGCUCUUCAAGGCAAGAAGGAAGGUGUGGGAACUGAGCCAUCAGCUGUGGUAGGAAAGACCUGGUCUAUGCACAGGAGAUUCGGGGCUAUCACAGACCCUGGAAGAAGCUAUGAGGUGAUGGAGAGCAGAAGAGGGACAGCGUCCUUUGCCCCAGGAGGGGGCUCUUCUGAC